UGGGGAAUAUUGCACAAUGGGCGAAAGCCUGAUGCAGCAACGCCGCGCGAGGGACGACGGCCUUCGGGUUGUAAACCUCUUUUAGCAAGGAAGAAGCGAAAGUGACGGUACUUGCAGAAAAAGCGCCGGCUAACUACGUGCCAGCAGCCGCGGUAAUACGUAGGGCGCAAGCGUUAUCCGGGAAUUUAUUGGGCGUAAAGAGCUCGUAGGCGGUUUUGUCGCGUCUGCUGUGAAAACCCGAGGCUCAACCUCGGGCCUGCAGUGGGUACGGGCAGACUAGAGUGCGGUAGGGGAGAUUGGAACUCCUGGUGUAGCGGUGGAAUGCGCAGAUAUCAGGAAGAACACCGAUGGCGAAGGCGAUCUCUGGGCCGUAACUGACGCUGAGGAGCGAAAGGGU
This 397-nucleotide ribosomal RNA is filed under the name uncultured bacterium. Its description in RNAcentral is "partial 16S ribosomal RNA". It matches the Rfam family "Bacterial small subunit ribosomal RNA", at positions 355 to 762 of the family's 1533-position model. The record is from RNAcentral.